This 572-nucleotide ribosomal RNA is filed under the name uncultured eukaryote. RNAcentral's name for it is "SSU rRNA". It matches the Rfam family "Eukaryotic small subunit ribosomal RNA", at positions 411 to 989 of the family's 1831-position model. The record is from RNAcentral.
CACAUCUAAGGAAGGCAGCAGGCGCGAAAAUUACCCAAUACUAAUACAGUGAGGUAGUAACAAUAAAUAACACAGCCCAGCAUUUCAUGUUGGGCUUUUGGAAUGAGAACAAUUUAAAUCCAUUAUCGAGGAUCAAUUGGAGGGCAAGUCUGGUGCCAGCAGCCGCGGUAAUUCCAGCUCCAAUAGCGUAUAUUAAAGUUGCUGCAGUUAAAAAGCUCGUAGUUGGAUUUCUAGCGAGGCACGAGAAUAUCCACCUAUGGUGAAUACUUCUCUCGCCUUGCUCUUCUUUAGUUGAUGUCUCUGGCAUUAAGUUGUCGGAGUCCUGAGACUAAUCGUUUACUGUGAGAAAAUUAGAGUGUUCAAAGCAGGCUUAUGCCGUUGAAUAUAUUAGCAUGGAAUAAUAAGAUAGGACUUCGGUACUAUUUUGUUGGUUUGCGUACUGAUGUAAUGAUAAAUAGGGACUGGCGUGGGUAUUCGUAUUUUAAUGUCAGAGGUGAAAUUCUUAGAUUAUUGAAAGACGGACGACUGCGAAAGCAUCUACCAAGUAUGUUUUCAUUAAUCAAGAACGAAAG